RNAcentral lists this ribosomal RNA (274 nucleotides) under uncultured bacterium. RNAcentral's name for it is "partial 16S ribosomal RNA". It matches the Rfam family "Bacterial small subunit ribosomal RNA", at positions 523 to 796 of the family's 1533-position model. The record is from RNAcentral.
CUACGGAGGGGGUUAGCGUUGUUCGGAAUUACUGGGCGUAAAGCGCACGUAGGCGGAUUGGAAAGUUGGGGGUGAAAUCCCAGGGCUCAACCCUGGAACUGCCUCCAAAACUAACAGUCUAGAGUUCGAGAGAGGUGAGUGGAAUUCCAAGUGUAGAGGUGAAAUUCGUAGAUAUUUGGAGGAACACCAGUGGCGAAGGCGGCUCACUGGCUCGAUACUGACGCUGAGGUGCGAAAGCGUGGGGAGCAAACAGGAUUAGAAACCCGGGUAGUCC